CAGUCGCCGCGGGAAUACGUAGGUCCCGAGCGUUGUCCGGAUUUAUUGGGCGUAGAGCGAGCGCAGGCGGUUAGAUAAGUCUGAAGUUAAAGGCUGUGGCUUAACCAUAGUACGCUUUGGAAACUGUUUAACUUGAGUGCAAGAGGGGAGAGUGGAAUUCCAUGUGUAGCGGUGAAAUGCGUAGAUAUAUGGAGGAACACCGGUGGCGAAAGCGGCUCUCUGGCUUGUAACUGACGCUGAGGCUCGAAAGCGUGGGGAGCAAACAGGAUUAGAUACCCGCGUAGUCCCUGUCUCUUAUACA
RNAcentral lists this ribosomal RNA (301 nucleotides) under uncultured bacterium. Its description in RNAcentral is "partial 16S ribosomal RNA". It matches the Rfam family "Bacterial small subunit ribosomal RNA", at positions 509 to 808 of the family's 1533-position model. The record is from RNAcentral.